UGGGGAAUAUUGGACAAUGGGCGAAAGCCUGAUCCAGCCAUGCCGCGUGUGUGAAGAAGGUCUUCGGAUUGUAAAGCACUUUAAGUUGGGAGGACGGGCAGUAAGCGAAUACCUUGCUGUUUUGACGUUACCGACAGAAUAAGCACCGGCUAACUCUGUGCCAGCAGCCGCGGUAAUACAGAGGGUGCAAGCGUUAAUCGGAAUUAUUGGGCGUAAAGCGCGCGUAGGUGGUUCGUUAAGUUGAAUGUGAAAGCCCCGGGCUCAACCUGGGAACUGCAUCCAAAAAUGGCGAGGUGGAGUAGGGCAGAGGGUGGUGGAAUUUCCUGUGUAGCGGUGAAAUGCCUAGAUAUAGGAAGGAACACCAGUGGCGAAGGCGACCACCUGGGCUAAUACUGACACUGAGGUGCGAAAGAGGGGGGAGCAAACAGG
Molecule: ribosomal RNA, 429 nt
Filed under: Pseudomonadota bacterium
Lineage: Bacteria; Pseudomonadati; Pseudomonadota
Description: Proteobacteria bacterium partial 16S ribosomal RNA
Rfam family: Bacterial small subunit ribosomal RNA
Source: RNAcentral